CGCAAAGUGCCUCCUUACCCUAAAGAGGCUUCGUCUUCACAAGCAGUCACAAGUUCACGUACUGCCCACCCUCAAGGAAGAAGCAAGGGAGGCAGCCAACAGAGCAGUGCCUUCUGUCAGAUUGCCACCAUAUGCCAGUGGCUCCUGAGGGCAGGAAACCCCUGAAGCCCAGCGCCAGGCAGCACACCCUCUUUGUGAAGGAUGUCCAACAUCAGGACAGGAAAUGUGCUUCCACUGCCUGCAGGAGGAGCAAAGAAUCUUCUGGGCUUCUGUGGCUGCAGAUAUACGAAGGAAAGAAAAGGAAGAAAGAAUGAGAUGGCAAAAGAGGUGGAAAGCAAUAUAAAAUGGAAGUGGCAUUCAAAGAAAGAGCAUGCUAUCCUUUGU
RNAcentral lists this long non-coding RNA (384 nucleotides) under Apteryx rowi (Okarito brown kiwi). Its description in RNAcentral is "lncRNA (ENSARWG00000004726.1)". Lineage: Eukaryota; Metazoa; Chordata; Aves; Apterygiformes; Apterygidae. The record is from RNAcentral.